RNAcentral lists this ribosomal RNA (253 nucleotides) under uncultured bacterium. Its description in RNAcentral is "partial 16S ribosomal RNA". It matches the Rfam family "Bacterial small subunit ribosomal RNA", at positions 524 to 776 of the family's 1533-position model. The record is from RNAcentral.
UACGUAGGUGGCAAGCGUUGUCCGGAUUUACUGGGCGUAAAGAGCGCGCAGGCGGUCGUUCAAGUCGCGUGUGAAAGCCCCCGGCUCAACUGGGGAGGGUCACGCGAUACUGAUCGACUCGAAGGCAGGAGAGGGUAGUGGAAUUCCCGGUGUAGUGGUGAAAUGCGCAGAUAUCGGGAAGAACACCCGUGGCGAAGGCGGUUCUCUGGGACGGUACUGACGCUGAGACGCGAAAGCGUGGGGAGCGAACAGG